Long non-coding RNA from Panicum virgatum (switchgrass), 1093 nucleotides. RefSeq lists it as uncharacterized. Lineage: Eukaryota; Viridiplantae; Streptophyta; Magnoliopsida; Poales; Poaceae. The transcript has 2 exons. The record is from RefSeq and is a predicted model, not a curated record.
GCACGCGCAGUCCGCCUCACGCAGCCGCCUCUGCCUCCGACUCCCCCACGCGGCGCCCAGAUCCGCCGCCCGCCGGCGAGUAGCCUCCGCCCUUGCCGGCGACGAGGAGGGCGGCGACCAGCCUCCGCCCUUGCCGGCGACGAGGAGCCCCCGUGGCGGCCAUGAAGGGCUGCACCCGGCCUCCAGCAACGAGCCCUGGCCGGCUGUCCGCCCGAGGAGUGGAACUGUGGAAGACGCGCAUGCUUGAUGUCUUGGCGCACGACAACGGCGUUGCGUCCACCGCGGCAGCCGGAUGGUUAGGGGCGCGGCAGCAGCAGCACCUCCUCUGCCGACCAGGUAGCUUGCCGGCUCCCUUUCCCAGUUUCCCUCUCCCUUUCCUUUCCAAUUUCUAUCAAUCCCUCUUUCCCCGUAGACAGUAGAUGAGUAGAUAGUAGAUUAAUACAAUCAUGCCUUUGCUUUUCUUUUCCGGUAGAUGCCUUCAUGGAGGACAACAAGCUCAAGCAGUGGUAGUGCUAGUAUAGGAUCUGCAUCCUCAACACCUACUGAUAUUAGAGCUCCCCUGUGGGAUCAUGUCACAAUAUUGGAAAAGGCAAAAUCAGGUGUAGGCAAUACUUUAUGGAAAUGCAAUUAGUCAAUUACUGUCCAAUGAGCAAAGCCACUAGCUAUACUAGAGUUGAGGCUCACUUGCUGAAAUUGAAAAACAGAGGAAUUGCUCACUGAUAUGCUGCUAAUAUAUUUCACAUGCACUAUAUUAAUAGUUGGUUUUUGUGUGCAAAUUCUGGACUUGGAGGAGGAGAACUCGAGAAUGGACAAUUGGACAUCACAAUUGGAGAAUGGAGAUGCUUCCGGUCUUUGCUUUGGCUAGUAACUGCUAUUGCAAGGUAUAUAGCUAUAUGCAGGUUCUUCCUUUUUUGGUGGCCAAGUUCCUGACAUUCUAGAAGGUCUUUCUUUUUCUUCUUCAGUUUUUAUUUCUGGACCUCGUCUUCUUUUAGAUGAACUAGAGUCAAGGUCCAUUGCUUCUAUAGCAUUAUCUUUGUCUUGUAAAGACACAUGUAUUUCUAAAUCUUUGCUAUAUGACUUAUUUAUAUCUUCA